UGGAGUUUAAUCCCUCCUCGAGUGCGUCCGCCGACGGCUGCCCUGGAGGGGAGUGUUGGGCGAGGCUCGGCCCACCCGCAGUGGGAGUGCCGGCGGUCGGCGUGUGUGUGGGGGUCGGGAUCCGGUCCCUAGUGUAUGAAGAGAUUUUUUCAGAGGCAUCAAAUAAUGUCUUCUGAAAUGUUGCCAGCAUUUACUGAGUCUUCUAAUGUUGAAAGAAAGCAAAGCUUAAGUGAAGAUCAAGAGAAGAGCCAGAAGCCAAGAUUAGGUGAAGAGUUUGAACCAAUAUCUAAAAGACAAAUGAAGAAGCUAAUUAAACAGAAACAGUGGGAAGAACAAAGAGAGCUCCGCAAACAAAAGCGGAAGGAAAAACGCAAGAGAAAACAAUUAGAACGACAAUGUCAACUGGAAUCAAACGUAGAUGGAAAUGACAGAAAACGCAUUCGAAGAGAUGUUGUCCACAGUACACUCCGCCUUAUCAUUGACUGCAGUUUUGACAGCUUGAUGGUAUUAAAGGACAUUAAGAAACUUCAUAAACAGAUUCAGCGAUGUUAUGCCGAAAAUCGGCGAGCACUGCAUCCUGUGCAGUUUUACUUGACAAGCCAUGGAGGCCAAUUGAAAAAGAACAUGGAUGAAAAUGACAAAGGAUGGGUCAACUGGAAGGAUAUACACAUCAAAGCAGAGCAUUAUAGUGAAUUCAUAAAGAAAGAAGACCUAAUUUAUCUAACAUCAGACUCACCUAAUGUGCUGAAGGAAUUAGAUGAAUCAAAGGCUUAUGUGAUUGGAGGGUUAGUAGAUCACAACCAUCACAAGGGACUCACAUAUAAACAAGCAUCAGAUCAUGGAAUUGACCAUGCACAGCUCCCCCUUGGAAAUUUUGUGAAGAUGAAUAGUAGGAAAGUUUUGGCAAUUAAUCAUGUGUUUGAGAUUAUUCUGGAAUAUCUGGAAACCAAAGACUGGCAGGAAGCAUUUUUUACUAUCUUACCCCAACGGAAAGGAGCUGUUCCCACAGACAAAACCUGUGAAAGUUUUUCGUAUGACAAGACAUCUGUCAGGGUUGAAGAUGGAUUGGACAGUGAUUCUAGUGAGGAAGAAAAUAGCAGAAAUGAACUAGAAUCACCACAUGAAGAAGAAAAGCAAGAUAAAGAAAAUAGUAAUGAAUCUACAGUGAACUCUAUGCCACACUAAUGUUAUCUGUUGUUUUUUGUUUUUUGUUUUUGGUUGUUUUUUUUUUUUAGUUUAAGGAAAGCCAGAGAAAAUGAGGUGCUUCAUAGAAUAUUCUAACUGGGAGAAAAUUUUAUUUCCUCUUAUUUCUGUUGUCAAUUUUUAAAACUUUUUUUAGAGCUAAUUGAUAAAAAGCCCUUAUAAGAAAGUAUUUUUUGUUUUUACAUAAAAUGUAAAUGUAUAAUUUUUAAAAUAGUUUUCUAAGUCUCAAGAGGUAAAACUUCAUUCUCUCAUUUACUGGAUUAUAUUUUUUCGAAUGUGCCUUCUGACCUUUCAGUUUUAUUUUUUAAUGUUUAUAUCAAGUGUCUUUCUGAUUUUUGCCUACUUAGUUGUAGAGGUACAUAUUCAUCAAUCUCCUCUAAGUCUACUGAAAUGUUCUGUCUGGGAGGUUACCUCCUAUUUGCAGCUUUUUUUAAUUCAACUUAGUUACUUCAAAAGAAUGCAGUUAUCUUAGGAAGAAGUAUUAGACUGAUAAACUCAACAAUUUAUUUCUUUUGGACUAUGGAGCCCAUCUCUAUUCCUCCUCUGUGAUGCCUUUUUGUGGCUCUAAAGCAAUCACCGAAGAGGGUAAAGAAUCUCUUUAAUGGUCUUUCCGAAGUUCAAUAAUGGUGGUAACUUAUUUCAAUUACCAAAUGUAAUUCUUCAGACUAGAUUAUUUUAAAAGGCCAUUGAGUAUCAAUUUUGUCUUAAAUUUAAAAGGAAACAGCUCUUAGCUGUCCUUUCCUUCUGUAUGUACUUCUAUUAAAUAAUAUAUUUCUUGGUUCUUAAAGUGAACAAAGUUAACUUUAUAUGUGCAUCUGUCUACUAGCAUAUAAUAUACAAGCUAAUAUAACUGUAUGUUCCUAUAAAUAAGCAUGUAUGAAAAAUAUACAAUUGUAUAUAUAUCCACAAUCAUGUAUGAUUCUCAGUUAAUAACAGAACUGAGUUGCCAAAUAUCUGUAUAAUUGCCUCAAUGACUGUGUUGAACAACACUAAGAACUUGAAUUUCAGAAAGUGCAAAAAUCCAUAGCUAAACUUUUAUAUGAGGACAUUGGCAAGGUGGGGCUGAAAGGAGAUGUUUUUAUUUUCUCCUGGUAAAUGUAGAGCAGAUAUGUUUAAAAUAGUGAUUAUUCUUUGUCAUAGCUAAAGCAAGAUUUCAGAAGCCUUCACUGAGUUUGGUUAAAUUUUCUGUUCUUUUUACUCACUGACAUCUCAAAUUAUGUACACAUUUGGUAGAAAGUUCAUUAGAUUUAGUAUUGAUAGUCACGGUCUCUUAAUUUUUGUUGCUUUAUUCCUAGUAAUAUAGUUAUCCGUUUAAAAGAAGGUCUGUGAGCAAGGUACAGAAAUAAAAGCCCCUACCAUUCUAGAAGAGCAAAGCAUAUAUCUCGAGUUGUAUUUCUCAAAGGUUCAGGUUUUCCUAAGUACGGUUUAGUAAAAUGAAAUCUAGUUAAUCCUUGAAAAGUGUGGGGAUGAGGGUCAGCAACCCCCACAGUUGAAAAUCCAUGUAUAACCUUGUCUCAAAACUUAAUAGCCUACUGUUGACCCAAGAUCUUACUGAUAACACAGUAAGUGUAUUUAAACAUGUAUUUCUAUGUUAUAUGUAUUAUAUACUGUGUUCUGAAAAUAAACUAGAGAAAAUGUUAAGAAAAUCAUAAGAGAAAAUACAUUUACAAUACUGUACUAUAUAGAAAAAAAUUCACAUAUAAGUGGACCCAUGCAUUUCAAACCUGUGUUGUUCAGGGGUCAACUGUAUUAUGCCUUUUACUUAAAGUAUUUAAUAUGGAAUGAGGCACAAGUUAAUUUUGAAAGGAGGGGCAAAAUCAUUACAGGCACUGUGCAGUUUGUCACUCAUUAUGAAAGCCCUGUAUUAUUUCCUAGUGCUGCCAUAACAAAUUACCACCCGGUGGUUUAAAAUAACAGGAAUUUUUUCCCUACAGUUCUGGCGGCUAAAACUCAGAAUCAAGAUGGAUCAUGUACCCUCUGAAGGCUAAAGGGAAAAAAGUCCUUCCUAGCCUCUUCUUGGUUUUUGGUGGUCCCAGCAAUCCUUGCUGUUCCUUGGCUUACAGCUGCAUCACUCCAGUAUCUGCUUUGUCAUCAAAUGGCUUCUGCCCCAGUCUUUCUUGCCUGUGUCUGUGUCCCUCUUAUAAGCAUAGCAAUCAUUGGAUCAGUGUCCAACAUAAUCCAGUAUGACCUCAUCUUAACUGGAUUACAUUUGCAAAGAUCCUAUUUCCAAAUAAGGUCACAUUUAAAAGGUACAAGAUACUAGGACUUGAACAUAUAUUUGAGUAGGCACAGUUCUAUCCAUACAAGUUUAUAUCUUAGGCUGUUGGUGACAGGGAGAUACAACCUUCACCUCAGGGUAAGAUUACAAUGAGAAAUAAGUAAUUGCUGAGGUAUUUAAAAAUCUUUUUUAAAUUAUGGUAAUCUCUCAUUUUAAUGUAUUACUUUUAACAUUGUUUUGGCUUAUUGAGGUGCCUUAUUUAAGACUUCAUUUGCAGUGAAGUCUCCUGUAUUGGGACAUAAUAAAGGUAAGGAAUUCAGUUAGUAUUUAAAUAAAUGCAUCCAAAGGAAAUAUGUCUCCUGAAAUAAUAAAAUUUUCUCUCACUUCAUUUCUUCAAAAACCUGCAGUGUUAAUAAAUCAAGCUUGUUGAUAAAGGAAGGAGCGUUCUUUGGAUUGAUUCCCCAGAAGUCAGUGUGUUGCCAUCUGGAAGCAUUUGAAAAUACUUGAAAUUGGAAAAGAAAAACAAACAAAAAAGGCAAGCACUUCUGAAAGAAUGUUAAGAACCUGCUCCAAUUGGUUCCUCCUCAUCCCCCUGUCUCGGUGGAUAGCAUUUGCAAACCCUGAAGAGAUGUCCAAGCCAGACCCAGAGAUCCAUUGUGGACAACUCCCUUGCAUCUACAAUAUGUUGCUGGACAACAAGUUCAGUAAAUGCUUCAUUCUCGAUAUUUCUCACAUUUCUCCAUUUCUUUUUAUCCCUACAGCCCUGACCUUGUCUAAACUAUCAUCAGUUCUUGCUUAAGCUACUCUGCAAUAUCCUUUUCCCUAGUCUGCCUGAAAUUUUUUCUUUUUUUCAAAAGAUUCCCAAAGCUACUUUGCCUUUAAUGGUUUUUUCAUCAAAAUGGUGGUUACACAGUGCUCCCAGCUUCUUUUAACUUACAGAUCCCUCUAGAUUGAAUGUGGAAAUCAUCCCAAUUGUUUCUCCUCUCUGAACUGUCAUAAAUCUGUGCUGUCUGUUGCUUAAUGCCUGAAAACAGUUUCUUCAUGUGUUUCCCCAGUUUUGUAUAGUUGUUUACAGCAGGAAGCUAAGUCUUGGACCUAAUCUAACAUUUGGAAGCAGAGUGCCUUCUGUGCCAUUUGGCCUCCACCUUCCAAAUUAGUUCUGCAUAUUGUAUCUAGAGCGAUUUUUCUAAAGUACAAAUCUGACCAUGUAAUUCUUAUAUUUACAAAGUGAUUUCAGUAUAAGUUGGUGUUUGAAAUUCUUCACUAGCUUCCCACAGCACUUCAGAUGAAUCUGAACACUUAUUUCUGGUCUAUGCCUAAGUCUCCAACCUCAAACCUUAAAGCCUUCUCCCUCCGAAUCAGCCUUAAUGUUUUUAGUUUCUUGAAUGAACAGUGCUCUCGCUUCUUAGCCUUUAGAUAUGAAGGUCUCUUGUCUGGGAAUGAUCUCUUCCAUACUAAUCUUCAUCUUUUAAUUGUAUCUUAAAUAUUCUUUAGGUUUAUUUCCCUUUGAAGAAUCUCUCAGCUCCAAAAUCUCCUAAAUGUUAUUACAAUGCCUGUACAAUUCCUCUCAUAAGCUAUGUGAAUAAAGGAAUGAACUGUA
RNA transcript from Mustela lutreola (European mink), 5021 nucleotides. It is a transcript of the gene named tRNA methyltransferase 10A, with no coding region annotated. The transcript is spliced from 9 exons. NCBI's taxonomy places the organism in Eukaryota, Metazoa, Chordata, Mammalia, Carnivora, Mustelidae. The record is from RefSeq and is a predicted model, not a curated record.